This 303-nucleotide ribosomal RNA is filed under the name uncultured fungus. Its description in RNAcentral is "eukaryotic LSU rRNA". The stretch from base 1 to 71 matches the Rfam family "5.8S ribosomal RNA", at positions 84 to 154 of the family's 154-position model. Lineage: Eukaryota; Fungi. The record is from RNAcentral.
GUGAGUCAUCGAGUCUUUGAACGCAACUUGCGCUCUCUGGUAUUCCGGAGAGCAUGCCUGUUUGAGUGUCAUGAAAUCUCAACCAUUAGGGUUUCUUAAUGGCUUGGAUUUUGGGUGUUGCCAGUCUCUGGCUCGCCUUAAAGGAGUUAGCGAGUUUAACAAUGUCGUCUGGCGUAAUAAGUUUCGCUGGUAAGACUUGUGAAGUUUGCUUCUAAUCGUCUUCGGACAAUUUACUUUGACUCUGGCCUCUAAAUCAGGUUAGGCUACCCACCUGAAACUUUAAAGCAUAUCAAUAAGCGGAGG